Molecule: ribosomal RNA, 492 nt
Filed under: uncultured bacterium
Lineage: Bacteria
Description: partial 16S ribosomal RNA
Rfam family: Bacterial small subunit ribosomal RNA
Source: RNAcentral
AGUGAACGCUGGCGGUAGGCCUAACACAUGCGGGUCGAACGGCAGCACAGUAAGAGCUUGCUCUUACGGGUGGCGAGUGGCGGACGGGUGAGGAAUACAUCGGAAUCUACUUUUUCGUGGGGGAUAACGUAGGGAAACUUACGCUAAUACCGCAUACGACCUACGGGUGAAAGCAGGGGAUCUUCGGACCUUGCGCGAUUGAAUGAGCCGAUGUCGGAUUAGCUAGUUGGCGGGGUAAAGGCCCACCAAGGCGACGAUCCGUAGCUGGUCUGAGUGGAUGAUCAGCCACACUGGAACUGAGACACGGUCCAGACUCCUACGGGAGGCAGCAGUGGGGAAUAUUGGACAAUGGGCGCAAGCCUGAUCCAGCCAUACCGCGUGGGUGAAGAAGGCCUUCGGGUUGUAAAGCCCUUUUGUUGGGAAAGAAAAGCAGCAGGUUAAUACCCCGCUGUUCUGACGGUACCCAAAGAAUAAGCACCGGCUAACUUCGUG